AAGACCUCGCGCUAUUGGAGCGGCCGAUGUCCGAUUAGCUAGUUGGUGGGGUAAUGGCCCACCAAGGCGACGAUCGGUAGCUGGUCUGAGAGGAUGAUCAGCCACACUGGGACUGAGACACGGCCCAGACUCCUACAGGAGGCAGCAGUGGGGAAUUUUGGACAAUGGGCGAAAGCCUGAUCCAGCCAUGCCGCGUGAGUGAAGAAGGCCUUCGGGUUGUAAAGCUCUUUCGGCCGGAACGAAAUCGAUCGGGCUAAUACCUCGGUUGGAUGACGGUACCGGAAGAAGAAGCACCGGCUAACUACGUGCCAGCAGCCGCGGUAAUACGUAGGGUGCAGGCGUUAAUCGGAAUUACUGGGCGUAAAGCGUGCGCAGGCGGCUUCCUAAGUCAGAUGUGAAAUCCCCGGGCUUAACCUGGGAACU
RNAcentral lists this ribosomal RNA (423 nucleotides) under uncultured bacterium. Its description in RNAcentral is "bacterial SSU rRNA". It matches the Rfam family "Bacterial small subunit ribosomal RNA", at positions 202 to 622 of the family's 1533-position model. The record is from RNAcentral.